RNAcentral lists this ribosomal RNA (253 nucleotides) under uncultured bacterium. RNAcentral's name for it is "partial 16S ribosomal RNA". It matches the Rfam family "Bacterial small subunit ribosomal RNA", at positions 524 to 776 of the family's 1533-position model. The record is from RNAcentral.
UACGUAGGGGGCAAGCGUUGUCCGGAAUCAUUGGGCGUAAAGCGCGUGUAGGCGGGUCGGUAAGUCCGCUCUGAAAGCCCGGGGCUCAACCCCGGGAGGCGGGUGGAUACUGUCGACCUCGAGUCCGGAAGAGGCGAGUGGAAUUCCUGGUGUAGCGGUGAAAUGCGCAGAUAUCAGGAGGAACACCGGUGGCGAAGGCGGGUCUCUGGGCCGUUACUGACGCUGAGGAGCGAAAGCGUGGGGAGCGAACAGG